Nicotiana tabacum (common tobacco) is the source of this 327-nucleotide non-coding RNA. The record is from RefSeq and is a predicted model, not a curated record. NCBI's taxonomy places the organism in Eukaryota, Viridiplantae, Streptophyta, Magnoliopsida, Solanales, Solanaceae.
UAUUGGUUUGGUUUUAGUGGGUGCCAAUAACAUAUAAUCCUUUGCAUGGUAUAAAACUCAAGCCCAUUGGUUUUGAAAGUUCUUUUUAGGUAUUUUUUCAUGAUUCAAUCGCUGGGUUUCUAUGAAACAAAGAGCAUGAAGAUCAAAACAGUUUGUUCAUCUUAAUGGCUUCGGUGACGUUCUUCGUUGCUCCGUUUUGCUCUUUCAAGGUUGCAAGCAUUGAUACAAUUGCUCUUCUUCUGACAAAUAACUUGUUAUCUUUACACGUCUUGGUUAGAGGAACCGACAUAUAUUUGACCACUACAGAUAGUAUCAUUUGUUGAAGAG